ACUCCUACGGGAGGCAGCAGUGGGGAAUAUUGCACAAUGGGGGAAACCCUGAUGCAGCGACGCCGCGUGAGUGAUGAAGUAUUUCGGUAUGUUAAAGCUCUAUCAGCAGGGACGAAAAAGACGGUACCUGACUAAGAAGCCCCGGCUAACUACGUGCCAGCAGCCGCGGUAAUACGUAGGUGGCAAGCGUUAUCCGGAAUUAUUGGGCGUAAAGCGCAUGUAGGCGGCUUUUAAGGUCUGAUGUGAAAGCCAGUGGCUCAACCACUGAAUUGCAUUGGAAUCACUGGAAAGCUAGAAUCUUGGAGAGGUAAGUGGAAUUUCAUGUGUAGCGGUGGAAUGCGUAGAUAUAUGAAGGAACACCAAUGGCGAAGGCAGCUUACUGGACAAGUAUUGACGCUGAGAUGCGAAAGUGUGGGUAGCAAACAGGAUUA
Molecule: ribosomal RNA, 431 nt
Filed under: uncultured bacterium
Lineage: Bacteria
Description: bacterial SSU rRNA
Rfam family: Bacterial small subunit ribosomal RNA
Source: RNAcentral